Molecule: long non-coding RNA, 1396 nt
Organism: Brassica rapa (field mustard)
Lineage: Eukaryota; Viridiplantae; Streptophyta; Magnoliopsida; Brassicales; Brassicaceae
Source: RefSeq, a predicted model, not a curated record
CAGGAGAGUGCAACAUCUGUCCACUUUAAUUAUACGUUGCCUUUAAUCAACGGAAGCAACCAUAGUGGGCUGCUUUACGUGUGUGUGGCUUUGUGUUCUCUCAUGAAACUCAGCCCGAUAAUGACUUCAAAAGCUUGAGAUGCAGUAGUUGACGUGAGAAAACUAUUCGUUGGGUUUCGAUCGCGUCGUUUGAUCUUCUAGAAUGGUGUAUAAGACGAAUCGUUAUGAAGCAUCUCUGAUCGAGUUUCAGUGGCGUCGUUUUGUAUGAGAUUAGGAGGACACAGGAGCUUGCCAUCUUCCAUCAACACAUACUGCAAGGAGAACAUGACACCUGUCAUCUCCCUUUUUUUUUACGCUUUAGUUGUGGUUUUGGAUGGGCUCGAACGCAAGAGAGAUUUGUAUUUGGGGUUGAUACGUUUAGAAGGUUGGCCCGUUAAGCAUAGUUACCCUCAAAGCGUGUAACCACAACAUAAAAAUAUAAUGGUUGCACAAACAUACAUCCAUAUUGAUGUGUUUAAUUUGUAAUAUAUAACAUUUAUUAUAGAUCGACGGUUUUUAAUUGUCUAUAAUUCACUGAUUUUUCAUAUUGUGAUUGGAUAUAAUAUCAAUAAAAUAAAAUAUUAUAUAAUAUAUUCUUCAAUUAAUAAUUUUUAACUGCAGUAACCAUUUUUGAUUUAUUAAUCUACAAAUUAGAACACUAAUUAUUAUGUUUAUGUAUACUAGGGAUUGGCCCGCCCUACGGGCGGAUGAGUUUACAUUAAAACUAUUUAUAUUUAAAUAUAUUUUAAUUUUAUAAAACAUUGAAACUUUAUUUUAUAUUAAAAAUAAUAAAUAUAAUAUAUUUUAUCCUAAGAUCAUUUUUUUAACUAUCAAAAGAAUGUUAUGUAAAAAUCAGACAUUUUUAAGAACUGAAAAACUGUUCUAUAGAUGUAAAUCUCAUAAGUUGUUACUUCAAACCAUCUUCUUAAUAACUCUUCCAACUUAUGAUUUGGCUUGUACUUGAGUGAACUAAUCAUAAUCAUGUUCUUCAUUGCCUUGUUUAUUAGCCCUCACAUAUUGUCUUUAGAAGUUCUCGGCUUCUUGUUUAUUAGUCCUCGCAUAUUGUAAAUUUUAUUUUGUUGGAUUGAGUUGAAAAAACCACUAACAAUAUUUUUGUUAGAGAACGCAAAAUUAUUAAAUAAAAAAUUAAGAAAAAUAAAAUGAUUUAUAUUUUUUAUUUGAUUUCUAUUUCAAUUUCAUAUAGUUGAAAAAAUAUAAAGUAAGAAUAGCUACAUUUUUUCCAAGAGUAUCAUAUUUUUCAAUAACUAAUUUCAUAUAGUUGAAAAAAUAUAAAGUAAUAAUUUCAUAUUAUUACAAUAACUAAUUUUUUCACAAUAAUAAAUUAAUACACCAACUC